RNAcentral lists this long non-coding RNA (220 nucleotides) under Gallus gallus (chicken). Lineage: Eukaryota; Metazoa; Chordata; Aves; Galliformes; Phasianidae. The record is from RNAcentral.
CAGGAAUUUAUGUGAACUUCCUCAUAAACCGGAGUUUGAGAUAGGCAAUGAGAAGGAAGAUAACAGUCAUGCAUAAGAGAGCCACUAUGUUCUCCCACAUUGCCAUGUUAGUAGGUGCGAUUCCUUGGCUGAUCAGGUAAUCUUCACCAGAGCACCUUACUCCUGAAGUAACUGGUGGACAAGCGGUUGCAUUUCCCACAGACACUGUAACGUUUGGUUU